Molecule: ribosomal RNA, 733 nt
Filed under: Ctenipocoris asiaticus
Lineage: Eukaryota; Metazoa; Arthropoda; Insecta; Hemiptera; Naucoridae
Also listed under: 1 other name
Description: SSU rRNA
Rfam family: Eukaryotic small subunit ribosomal RNA
Source: RNAcentral
AAGGCAGCAGGCACGCAAAUUACCCACUCCCGGCACGGGGAGGUAGUGACAAAAAAUAACGAUACGGGACUCAUCCGAGGCCCCGUAAUCGGAAUGAGUACACUUUAAAUCCUUUAACAAGGAUCCAAUGGAGGGCAAGUCUGGUGCCAGCAGCCGCGGUAAUUCCAGCUCCAUUAGCGUAUAUUAAAGUUGUUGCGGUUAAAAAGCUCGUAGUUGGUUCUGUGUCCCACGCUGUCGGUUCACCGCCUGCCGGUGCAACUGGCAUGCCGUGGGAUGUCCUGUCGGUGGCGGCCGUGACCCACGGCGAGUGUAGGUAGCCACCGAAGCUCGCCGCUGCGUGUCAGGCCGCCGAUUCAAUCCUGCCGCGGUGCUCUUUACUGAGUGUCGAGGUAGGCCGACACGUUUACUUUGAACAAAUUAGAGUGCUCAAAGCAGGCUGAAUUCUGCCUGGAUACUGGUGCAUGGAAUAAUGGAAUAGGACCUCGGUUCUAUUUUGUUGGUUUCCGGAAUCCGAGGUAAUGAUCAAUAUGGACAGGCGGGGGCAUUCGUAUUGCGACGUUAGAGGUGAAAUUCUUGGAUCGUCGCAAGACGGACUAGAGCGAAAGCAUUUGCCAAGUAUGUCUUAGUUGAUCAAGAACGAAAGUUAGAGGUUCGAAGGCGAUCAGAUACCGCCCUAGUUCUAACCAUAAACGAUGCCAGCCAGCGAUCCGCCGAAGUUCCUCCGAUGACUCGG